AGAUCUUUUUUAUAUAGUUCUAUAUAGUCAGCAAAAAUAAGACCAGGAGCUGACUGUGGCUCAGAUCAUGAACUCCUUAUUGCCAGAUUCAAACUUAAAUUGAAGAAAGUAGGGAUUAAAGAGUGACAGAAAAAUCAGUCAGAUGUCUUGCCUGAGAGGCAGCUGGUGAAGGGAGAAGCAUGAGAUGGUGCUCAGAGUACAUCCCUGAGGGCUUCUAUUCCUUCCCAUGGCCAAAGCAGGAAGGGCACAGACCAUCCAGCCUAGAGGAUCUGAGAGUCACUGUAGUAGACAAUGCACUGAUGCUCUGGGCUCUGACCAGUUUGACUUCAAGUCAUCUUUCCAAUGC
RNAcentral lists this long non-coding RNA (346 nucleotides) under Bos taurus (domestic cattle). RNAcentral describes it as "long non-coding RNA NONBTAT007398". Lineage: Eukaryota; Metazoa; Chordata; Mammalia; Artiodactyla; Bovidae. The record is from RNAcentral.